GACAGAGGGUGCAAACGUUGUUCGGAAUCACUGGGCUUAAAGCGUGUGUAGGCGGAUCGUUAAGUGCCUUGUGAAAUCCCACGGCUUAACCGUGGAACUGCUUGGCAUACUGGCGGUCUUGAGCCACUUAGGGGCAACCGGAACAAAUGGUGGAGCGGUGAAAUGCGUAGAUAUCAUUUGGAACGCCAAUGGUGAAAACAGGUUGCUGGGAGUGUGCUGACGCUGAGACACGAAAGCCAGGGGAGCGAACGGG
RNAcentral lists this ribosomal RNA (253 nucleotides) under uncultured bacterium. RNAcentral's name for it is "partial 16S ribosomal RNA". It matches the Rfam family "Bacterial small subunit ribosomal RNA", at positions 524 to 776 of the family's 1533-position model. The record is from RNAcentral.